AACGCUAGCUACAGGCUUAACACAUGCAAGUCGAGGGGAAACGACAUCGAAAGCUUGCUUUUGAUGGGCGUCGACCGGCGCACGGGUGAGUAACGCGUAUCCAACCUGCCCACCACUUGGGGGUAACCUUGCGAAAGUAAGACUAAUACCCAAUGACGUCUCUAGAAGACAUCUGAAAGGGAUUAAAGAUUUAUCGGUGAUGGAUGGGGAUGCGUCUGAUUAGCUUGUUGGCGGGGUAACGGCCCACCAAGGCGACGAUCAGUAGGGGUUCUGAGAGGAAGGUCCCCCACAUUGGAACUGAGACACGGUCCAGACUCCUACGGGAGGCAGCAGUGAGGAAUAUUGGUCAAUGGACGAGAGUCUGAACCAGCCAAGUAGCGUGCAGGAUGACGGCCCUAUGGGUUGUAAACUGCUUUUAUAAGGGAAUAAAGUGAGCCUCGUGAGGCUUUUUGCAUGUACCUUAUGAAUAAGGACCGGCUAAUUCCGUGCCAGCAGCCGCGGUAAUACGGAAGGUCCGGGCGUUAUCCGGAUUUAUUGGGUUUAAAGGGAGCGUAGGCCGGAGAUUAAGCGUGUUGUGAAAUGUAGGCGCUCAACGUCUGCACUGCAGCGCGAACUGGUCUUCUUGAGUACGCACAACGUGGGCGGAAUUCGUGGUGUAGCGGUGAAAUGCUUAGAUAUCACGAAGAACUCCGAUUG
RNAcentral lists this ribosomal RNA (696 nucleotides) under uncultured bacterium. Its description in RNAcentral is "bacterial SSU rRNA". It matches the Rfam family "Bacterial small subunit ribosomal RNA", at positions 32 to 715 of the family's 1533-position model. The record is from RNAcentral.